UUCGCCCUUAGAGUUUGAUCCUGGCUCAGGACGAACGCUGGCGGCGCGCCUAACACAUGCAAGUCGAACGGAGCUUAAAGAGCUUGCUUUUUAAGCUUAGUGGCGAACGGGUGAGUAACGCGUGAGUAACCUGCCCUGGAGUGGGGGACAACAGUUGGAAACGACUGCUAAUACCGCAUAAGCCCACGGAUCCGCAUGGAUCUGAGGGAAAAGGAUUUAUUCGCUUCAGGAUGGACUCGCGUCCAAUUAGCUAGUUGGUGAGGUAACGGCCCACCAAGGCGACGAUUGGUAGCCGGACUGAGAGGUUGAACGGCCACAUUGGGACUGAGACACGGCCCAGACUCCUACGGGAGGCAGCAGUGGGGGAUAUUGCACAAUGGGGGAAACCCUGAUGCAGCGACGCCGCGUGGAGGAAGAAGGUUUUCGGAUUGUAAACUCCUGUCGUUAGGGACGAUAAUGACGGUACCUAACAAGAAAGCACCUGGCUAACUACGUGCCAGCAGCCGCGGUAAAACGUAGGGUGCAAGCGUUGUCCGGAAUUACUGGGUGUAAAGGGAGAGCAGGCGGACCGGCACAGUUGGAAGUGAAAACUAUGGGCUCAACCCAUAAAUUGCUUUCAAAACUGCUGGCCUUGAGUAGUGCAGAGGUAGGUGGAAUUCCCGGUGUAGCGGUGGAAUGCGUAGAUAUCGGGAGGAACACCAGUGGCGAAGGCGACCUUCUGGGCACCAACUGACGCUGAGGCUCGAAAGCAUGGGUAGCAAACAGGAUUAGAUCCCCUGGUAGUCCAUGCCGUAAAAGAUGAUUAUUAGGUGUUGGAGGAUUGACCCCUUCAGUACCGCAGUUAACAACAAUUAAAGUAAUCCACCUGGGGAGUACGACCGCAAGGUUGAAACUCAAAGGAAUUGACGGGGGCCCGCACAAGCAGUGGAGUAUGAGGUUUAAUUAGAAGCAACGCGAAGAACCUUACCAGGUCUUGACAUCCGAUGCAUAGUGCAGAGAUGCAUGAAGUCCUUCGGGACAUCGAGACAGGUGGUGCAUGGCUGUCGUCAGCUCGUGUCGUGAGAUGUUGGGUUAAGUCCCGCAACGAGCGCAACCCUUAUUGCCAGUUACUACGCAAGAGGACUCUGGCGAGACUGCCGUUGACAAAACGGAGGAAGGUGGGGAUGACGUCAAAUCAUCAUGCCCUUUAUGACCUGGGCUACACACGUACUACAAUGGCGUUUAACAAAGAGAAGCAAGACCGCGAGGUGGAGCAAAACUCAAAAACAACGUCUCAGUUCAGAUUGCAGGCUGCAACUCGCCUGCAUGAAGUCGGAAUUGCUAGUAAUCGCGGAUCAGCAUGCCGCGGUGAAUACGUUCCCGGGCCUUGUACUCACCGCCCGUCA
This 1385-nucleotide ribosomal RNA is filed under the name uncultured bacterium. RNAcentral describes it as "16S ribosomal RNA". It matches the Rfam family "Bacterial small subunit ribosomal RNA". The record is from RNAcentral.